GAGGGUAUAACCCAAGUGGUAGAGUGCAUGCUUAGCAUGCACGAGGUCCUGGGUUCAAUCCCCAGUACCUUCU
Molecule: transfer RNA, 73 nt
Filed under: Camelus bactrianus (Bactrian camel)
Lineage: Eukaryota; Metazoa; Chordata; Mammalia; Artiodactyla; Camelidae
Also listed under: 3 other names
Rfam family: tRNA
About the family: Transfer RNA (tRNA) molecules are approximately 80 nucleotides in length. Their secondary structure includes four short double-helical elements and three loops (D, anti-codon, and T loops).
Source: Rfam by way of RNAcentral